AUCUAGGCUCUUGCAUCGAUGAAGAACGUAGCGAAAUGCGAUACUUGGUGUGAAUUGCAGAAUCCCGUGAACCAUCGAGUUUUUGAACGCAAGUUGCGCCCGAUGCCAUUAGGUUGAGGGCACGUCUGCCUGGGUGUCACAUACCGAAGCCUCCUGCCAAUUAC
Molecule: ribosomal RNA, 164 nt
Filed under: Vicia subvillosa
Lineage: Eukaryota; Viridiplantae; Streptophyta; Magnoliopsida; Fabales; Fabaceae
Description: 5.8S ribosomal RNA
Rfam family: 5.8S ribosomal RNA (bases 1-139)
About the family: 5.8S ribosomal RNA (5.8S rRNA) is a component of the large subunit of the eukaryotic ribosome.
Source: RNAcentral